This 1842-nucleotide ribosomal RNA is filed under the name Escherichia coli. RNAcentral describes it as "partial 23S ribosomal RNA". It matches the Rfam family "Bacterial large subunit ribosomal RNA", at positions 1 to 1869 of the family's 2925-position model. Lineage: Bacteria; Pseudomonadati; Pseudomonadota; Gammaproteobacteria; Enterobacterales; Enterobacteriaceae. The record is from RNAcentral.
GUUAAGCGACUAAGCGUACACGGUGGAUGCCCUGGCAGUCAGAGGCGAUGAAGGACGUGCUAAUCUGCGAUAAGCGUCGGUAAGGUGAUAUGAACCGUUAUAACCGGCGAUUUCCGAAUGGGGAAACCCAGUGUGAUUCGUCACACUAUCAUUAACUGAAUCCAUAGGUUAAUGAGGCGAACCGGGGGAACUGAAACAUCUAAGUACCCCGAGGAAAAGAAAUCAACCGAGAUUCCCCCAGUAGCGGCGAGCGAACGGGGAGCAGCCCAGAGCCUGAAUCAGUGUGUGUGUUAGUGGAAGCGUCUGGAAAGGCGCGCGAUACAGGGUGACAGCCCCGUACACAAAAAUGCACAUGCUGUGAGCUCGAUGAGUAGGGCGGGACACGUGGUAUCCUGUCUGAAUAUGGGGGGACCAUCCUCCAAGGCUAAAUACUCCUGACUGACCGAUAGUGAACCAGUACCGUGAGGGAAAGGCGAAAAGAACCCCGGCGAGGGGAGUGAAAAAGAACCUGAAACCGUGUACGUACAAGCAGUGGGAGCACGCUUAGGCGUGUGACUGCGUACCUUUUGUAUAAUGGGUCAGCGACUUAUAUUCUGUAGCAAGGUUAACCGAAUAGGGGAGCCGAAGGGAAACCGAGUCUUAACUGGGCGUUAAGUUGCAGGGUAUAGACCCGAAACCCGGUGAUCUAGCCAUGGGCAGGUUGAAGGUUGGGUAACACUAACUGGAGGACCGAACCGACUAAUGUUGAAAAAUUAGCGGAUGACUUGUGGCUGGGGGUGAAAGGCCAAUCAAACCGGGAGAUAGCUGGUUCUCCCCGAAAGCUAUUUAGGUAGCGCCUCGUGAAUUCAUCUCCGGGGGUAGAGCACUGUUUCGGCAAGGGGGUCAUCCCGACUUACCAACCCGAUGCAAACUGCGAAUACCGGAGAAUGUUAUCACGGGAGACACACGGCGGGUGCUAACGUCCGUCGUGAAGAGGGAAACAACCCAGACCGCCAGCUAAGGUCCCAAAGUCAUGGUUAAGUGGGAAACGAUGUGGGAAGGCCCAGACAGCCAGGAUGUUGGCUUAGAAGCAGCCAUCAUUUAAAGAAAGCGUAAUAGCUCACUGGUCGAGUCGGCCUGCGCGGAAGAUGUAACGGGGCUAAACCAUGCACCGAAGCUGCGGCAGCGACGCUUAUGCGUUGUUGGGUAGGGGAGCGUUCUGUAAGCCUGCGAAGGUGUGCUGUGAGGCAUGCUGGAGGUAUCAGAAGUGCGAAUGCUGACAUAAGUAACGAUAAAGCGGGUGAAAAGCCCGCUCGCCGGAAGACCAAGGGUUCCUGUCCAACGUUAAUCGGGGCAGGGUGAGUCGACCCCUAAGGCGAGGCCGAAAGGCGUAGUCGAUGGGAAACAGGUUAAUAUUCCUGUACUUGGUGUUACUGCGAAGGGGGGACGGAGAAGGCUAUGUUGGCCGGGCGACGGUUGUCCCGGUUUAAGCGUGUAGGCUGGUUUUCCAGGCAAAUCCGGAAAAUCAAGGCUGAGGCGUGAUGACGAGGCACUACGGUGCUGAAGCAACAAAUGCCCUGCUUCCAGGAAAAGCCUCUAAGCAUCAGGUAACAUCAAAUCGUACCCCAAACCGACACAGGUGGUCAGGUAGAGAAUACCAAGGCGCUUGAGAGAACUCGGGUGAAGGAACUAGGCAAAAUGGUGCCGUAACUUCGGGAGAAGGCACGCUGAUAUGUAGGUGAAGCGACUUGCUCGUGGAGCUGAAAUCAGUCGAAGAUACCAGCUGGCUGCAACUGUUUAUUAAAAACACAGCACUGUGCAAACACGAAAGUGGACGUAUACGGUGUGACGCCUGCCCGGUGC